UAGGGAAUCUUCGGCAAUGGGGGGAACCCUGACCGAGCAACGCCGCGUGAGUGAAGAAGGUUUUCGGAUCGUAAAGCUCUGUUGUUAAGGAAGAACGAGUGUGAGAAUGGAAAGUUCAUGCUGUGACGGUACUUAACCAGAAAGGGACGGCUAACUACGUGCCAGCAGCCGCGGUAAUACGUAGGUCCCGAGCGUUGUCCGGAUUUAUUAGGCGUAAAGCGAGCGCAGGCGGUUAGAAAAGUCUGAAGUGAAAGGCAGUGGCUCAACCAUUGUAGGCUUUGGAAACUGUUUAACUUGAGUGCAGAAGGGGAGAGUGGAAUUCCAUGUGUAGCGGUGAAAUGCGUAGAUAUAUGGAGGAACACCGGUGGCGAAAGCGGCUCUCUGGUCUGUAACUGACGCUGAGGCUCGAAAGCGUGGGGAGCGAACAGG
Molecule: ribosomal RNA, 429 nt
Filed under: Bacteroidota bacterium
Lineage: Bacteria; Pseudomonadati; Bacteroidota
Description: Bacteroidetes bacterium partial 16S ribosomal RNA
Rfam family: Bacterial small subunit ribosomal RNA
Source: RNAcentral